Molecule: transfer RNA, 68 nt
Filed under: Nanhuaphasma hamicercum
Lineage: Eukaryota; Metazoa; Arthropoda; Insecta; Phasmatodea; Aschiphasmatidae
Description: tRNA-Val
Source: RNAcentral
CAAGAAUUAGUUUAAAGAAAAUUAUUCAUUUACAUUGAAUAGAAUAUUGUGCAUUACAUAAUUUUUGA